GACGAACGCUGGCGGCGUGCUUAACACAUGCAAGUCGAGCAGUAAGGCUCCUUCGGGAGUACACGAGCGGCGAACGGGUGAGUAACACGUGAGUAACCUGCCCCAAUCAUCGGGAUAACCAUUGGAAACGAUGGCUAAUACCGAAUACGACCACCGAAGGCAAUCUUCUGGUGGUGGAAAGCUCCGGCGGAUUGGGAUGGACUCGCGGCCUAUCAGCUUGUUGGUGAGGUAAUGGCUCACCAAGGCAACGACGGGUAGCCGGCCUGAGAGGGUGACCGGCCACACUGGGACUGAGACACGGCCCAGACUCCUACGGGAGGCAGCAGUGGGGAAUAUUGGACAAUGGGCGCAAGCCUGAUCCAGCAACGCCGCGUGAGGGAUGACGGCCUUCGGGUUGUAAACCUCUUUCAGUAGGGACGAAGCGAAAGUGACGGUACCUACAGAAGAAGGACCGGACCAACUAACGUG
RNAcentral lists this ribosomal RNA (468 nucleotides) under uncultured bacterium. RNAcentral describes it as "bacterial SSU rRNA". It matches the Rfam family "Bacterial small subunit ribosomal RNA", at positions 28 to 507 of the family's 1533-position model. The record is from RNAcentral.